GAAAUAGGUAAGACGUGUGGGUGAGAACCGUAAAGGUUCGAGUCGAGCGAAAGCGAGACAACGUUGCGCAGCAACGGCCCGAAGGGCGAGGCGAAAGCCGAGUCAUCCCGCACGACCCACCA
Molecule: regulatory RNA element, 122 nt
Organism: Moellerella wisconsensis ATCC 35017
Lineage: Bacteria; Pseudomonadati; Pseudomonadota; Gammaproteobacteria; Enterobacterales; Morganellaceae
Rfam family: RtT RNA
About the family: This family represents a bacterial cis-regulatory element known as RtT RNA. The exact function of RtT is unknown although it is thought that it may be involved in changing the cellular response in relation to amino acid starvation.
Source: Rfam